RNAcentral lists this ribosomal RNA (253 nucleotides) under uncultured bacterium. RNAcentral's name for it is "partial 16S ribosomal RNA". It matches the Rfam family "Bacterial small subunit ribosomal RNA", at positions 524 to 776 of the family's 1533-position model. The record is from RNAcentral.
UACGUAGGGUGCAAGCGUUAAUCGGAAUUACUGGGCGUAAAGCGUGCGCAGGCGGUUUUGUAAGUCUGAUGUGAAAUCCCCAGGCUCAACCUGGGAAUUGCAUUGGAGACUGCAAGGCUAGAAUCUGGCAGAGGGGGGUAGAAUUCCACGUGUAGCAGUGAAAUGCGUAGAGAUGUGGAGGAACACCGAUGGCGAAGGCAGCCCCCUGGGUCAAGAUUGACGCUCAUGCACGAAAGCGUGGGGAGCAAACAGG